GACGAACGCUGGCGGCGUGCUUAACACAUGCAAGUCGAACGGAAAGGCCCUGCUUUUGUGGGGUGCUCGAGUGGCGAACGGGUGAGUAACACGUGAGUAACCUGCCCUUGACUUUGGGAUAACUUCAGGAAACUGGGGCUAAUACCGGAUAGGAGCUCCUGCUGCAUGGUGGGGGUUGGAAAGUUUCGGCGGUUGGGGAUGGACUCGCGGCUUAUCAGCUUGUUGGUGGGGUAGUGGCUUACCAAGGCUUUGACGGGUAGCCGGCCUGAGAGGGUGACCGGCCACAUUGGGACUGAGAUACGGCCCAGACUCCUACGGGAGGCAGCAGUGGGGAAUAUUGCACAAUGGGCGGAAGCCUGAUGCAGCAACGCCGCGUGCGGGAUGACGGCCUUCGGGUUGUAAACCGCUUUCGCCUGUGACGAAGCGUGAGUGACGGUAAUGGGUAAAGAAGCACCGGCUAACUACGUGCCAGCAGCCGCGGUGAUACGUAGGGUGCGAGCGUUGUCCGGAUUUAUUGGGCGUAAAGGGCUCGUAGGUGGUUGAUCGCGUCGGAAGUGUAAUCUUGGGGCUUAACCCUGAGCGUGCUUUCGAUACGGGUUGACUUGAGGAAGGUAGGGGAGAAUGGAAUUCCUGGUGGAGCGGUGGAAUGCGCAGAUAUCAGGAGGAACACCAGUGGCGAAGGCGGUUCUCUGGGCCUUUCCUGACGCUGAGGAGCGAAAGCGUGGGGAGCGAACAGGCUUAGAUACCCUGGUAGUCCGCGCUGUAAACGGUGGGUACUAGGUGUGGGGUCCAUUCCACGGGUUCCGUGCCGUAGCUAACGCUUUAAGUACCCCGCCUGGGGAGUACGGCCGCAAGGCUAAAACUCAAAGGAAUUGACGGGGCCCCGCACAAGCGGCGGAGCAUGCGGAUUAAUUCGAUGCAACGCGUAGAACCUUACCUGGGUUUGACAUGGAUCGGGAGUGCUCAGAGAUGGGUGUGCCUCUUUUGGGGUCGGUUCACAGGUGGUGCAUGGCUGUCGUCAGCUCGUGUCGUGAGAUGUUGGGUUAAGUCCCGCAACGAGCGCAACCCUUGUUCACUGUUGCCAGCACGUUAUGGUGGGGACUCAGUGGAGACCGCCGGGGUCAACUCGGAGGAAGGUGGGGAUGGCGUCAAGUCAUCAUGCCCCUUAUGUCCAGGGCUUCACGCAUGCUACAAUGGCUGGUACAGAGAGUGGCGAGCCUGUGAGGGUGAGCGAAUCUCGGAAAGCCGGUCUCAGUUCGGAUUGGGGUCUGCAACUCGACCUCAUGAAGUCGGAGUCGCUAGUAAUCGCAGAUCAGCAACGCUGCGGUGAAUACGUUCCCGGG
Molecule: ribosomal RNA, 1343 nt
Filed under: uncultured bacterium
Lineage: Bacteria
Description: 16S ribosomal RNA
Rfam family: Bacterial small subunit ribosomal RNA
Source: RNAcentral